GUCGUCAAGUGAUGAAGUUGGAAAUAAUCUUAGGACACCUUCCUACAUAGCUUUUUUAAAGCUAUGGAUGAGAAAAACAUUUCCUAUAUCUGAUGAUGAC
This 100-nucleotide small nucleolar RNA is filed under the name Corchorus capsularis. RNAcentral's name for it is "Small nucleolar RNA snoR31/Z110/Z27". It matches the Rfam family "Small nucleolar RNA snoR31/Z110/Z27". Rfam says of the family: This family contains several related snoRNAs including R31, Z27 and Z110. Family members belong to the C/D class of snoRNAs which contain the C (UGAUGA) and D (CUGA) box motifs. Most of the members of the box C/D family function in directing site-specific 2'-O-methylation of substrate RNAs. The record is from Rfam by way of RNAcentral. Lineage: Eukaryota; Viridiplantae; Streptophyta; Magnoliopsida; Malvales; Malvaceae.